CCUGUUUAUCAAAAACAUGCCCUUUUGAUUUAUGUGUAAUAUAAAAGGUUGGACCUGCCCAGUGGUUUAUCUAAAUGGCUGCAGUGAAUAACUGUACAAAGGUAGCGAAAUCAGUUGUCCUUUAAAUGGGGGAAGGUAUGAAAGGUUUGACGGUAAAGAAGCUGUCUCUUAAAAAUAGUGUGAAGUUUCCGUCUAAGUGAAAAGGCUUAGAUUUUUUAAAAAGACGAGAAGACCCUAUUGAGCUUAAUUAUAUUUUUUUUAUUAAGAAAGUUGAAGUUUUAUUGGGGCAAUAGGAAGCUAUAAGUAAUGCUUCUUUUUAAGGUAAGGAUCCUCCAUGGGAGAAGUAAGCAAAAGUUACCAUAGGGAUAACAGCGUUAUCUUUCUUAAGAGUUCUAAUUGAGGGAAAGGUUUGCGACCUCGAUGUUGGAUUAAGAUGUCUUUUUGGUGCAGCAGCUAAAAAAGUAAGACUGUUCGUCUUUUAAAAUUUUACGUGAUCUGAGUUCAGACCG
RNAcentral lists this ribosomal RNA (509 nucleotides) under Vesicomya lepta. RNAcentral's name for it is "partial 16S ribosomal RNA". It matches the Rfam family "Bacterial large subunit ribosomal RNA", at positions 1799 to 2618 of the family's 2925-position model. The record is from RNAcentral. Lineage: Eukaryota; Metazoa; Mollusca; Bivalvia; Venerida; Vesicomyidae.